Non-coding RNA from Solanum lycopersicum (tomato), 678 nucleotides. The record is from RefSeq and is a predicted model, not a curated record. NCBI's taxonomy places the organism in Eukaryota, Viridiplantae, Streptophyta, Magnoliopsida, Solanales, Solanaceae.
UUUUAAGUUUUCAUCUUUCACUCCCUAUUGUAAAAAUAUUCUAGUAUGAUAUAAUAAAAACUUUGGUUUAAAGAUCUCUGUUCAAGAGUUUGACACAUGAAGCAAAAUGACGGCGGUUUUACUUGCUAAGGAAGAUAGUAGAAGGGAAAAAAGAAGAAUAAUUAGAGACUAUUUUUGCUAGAUUUUUUUUCUUUGACUUGUAUUAGUUACUUAGCUUCUUUUUGCUUUAAAAAAAUGGUUUGUAUAAAUAGUGUUGUUAUAUGUUUGUCAAUGCUUAUUAUUUGGUCCUUAGCAUUCUACCUUUUUUUUAAAAAUUAUGAAACACAAUUAAUAUAAUUAUCUACUUUAAACAACAAAAAUAUUAUGAUGAUUAGGAUUUUCAUUUUUAUUAUACUCACAAAAAGUAAUUGUAAAAUAGAAUAUUAAUUUUUUUACAUAUGUAACAAUAUAUUUUGUCGCUGUUCUUUUUUCGUUUGAAAUAUAUUUAUAAUGUUAAUGGAGUAACCGAUUAUUAUAUUUAUUUUUUUUGGUUUAUUUUUUUUAUUUCUAGCGUAUUAAUUCUGUUUUGAAGUGAAAAUUCAAGACCUGAAUUGUGAGUCACGGGCAAAGACUCCAACAGGACAUGACUUAUUUUGAUUUAUUCAUUUUACAAAUAAAAUCAAUGCAUAAUUAUCAAUG